RNAcentral lists this ribosomal RNA (516 nucleotides) under Triticum aestivum (bread wheat). RNAcentral describes it as "partial small subunit ribosomal RNA". Lineage: Eukaryota; Viridiplantae; Streptophyta; Magnoliopsida; Poales; Poaceae. The record is from RNAcentral.
AUGGGAGGAAUAAAUGUCAAUAGUAUUUGGAGCAAGAUUUGGAAAUUAUCUUGUCCAGCAAAAGUGAAGAUCUUUAUUUGGCGUACCUUACAUGGAACCCUCCCGUGUCGUGUUACAUUUGCUAAUAGACAUAUGAAAGUUUCGCCCACCUGCCCAUCAUGUUCGAACGGGCAUGAAGAUACUAAACACUUAUUAUUUUUAUGUCAAAAAGCAAAAGAGGCGUGGGAGAAACUAGGAUUGCACGAAGCCAUUAAAAUAGCCUGUGCGGUCGAUCGGGCGGGAGAGGCAGUACUCGAAUUUCUACUUUUUAUGCCCGAACAUGAGCUAUCUACAGUGGGCAUACAGAAUGUUCGCGAACUGAUUGCUAUAACAGCCUGGUAUUUAUGGUGGGAAAGACGUUCGCUAAUCCAUCAGCGGAAGACCCAAGAUGCAUACCAAAUUUCGAUGGGAGCCCAUGCUAUAACGACGAACUAUGUUAUUUCCCAAUCCUCCAAGGCAACAAAUAAAAUAGAGUGA